This 775-nucleotide ribosomal RNA is filed under the name uncultured Neocallimastigales. RNAcentral's name for it is "partial large subunit ribosomal RNA". It matches the Rfam family "Eukaryotic large subunit ribosomal RNA", at positions 26 to 643 of the family's 3401-position model. Lineage: Eukaryota; Fungi; Neocallimastigomycota; Neocallimastigomycetes; Neocallimastigales. The record is from RNAcentral.
CGCAUCUGUGCAUGCAGCAUAUCAAUAAGCGGAGGAAAAGAAACUAACAAGGAUUCCCUUAGUAACGGCGAGUGAAGCGGGAAGAGCUCAAAUUUGAAAUCUUCAAGGGUUUACCUUUACGAAUUGUAGUUUAAAGAAGUGUUUUCUGUUGAGGUUUUGGUAAAAGUUCUUUGGAAUAGGACAUCAUAGAGGGUGAGAAUCCCGUAUUUGACCUUUACUUUCAACUUUGUGAUACACUUUCAAAGAGUCGGAUUGUUUGGGAAUGCAGGUCCAAAAUGGGUGGUAAAUUUCAUCUAAAGCUAAAUAUUGGCGAGAGACCGAUAGCGAACAAGUACCGUGAGGGAAAGAUGAAAAGAACUUUGAAAAGAGAGUUAAACAGUACGUGAAAUUGUCAAAAGGGAAGCGUUUGACACCAGUGUUGUUUUUCUGAAAAUCAAUUAAAGAACUGUUUAUGCUAAGCUGUUUAGACUUUAUCAGCUAUCUGUUUAGUUUUGAGCUUUUCUUUAAUGCACUUUUCAGUUAACAAGUCAACAUCAAUUUCUUUUGCUGUAAAAAAGCUUGAGGAAGGUGGCUUGAGAUUCGUCUUAAGUGUUUAUAGCCUCUUGCCUAUGCAGUCGGAGAGAUUGAGGUCUGCAGCGUAGAUCCUUCGGGGCUAAAUGCAUUUGUGCUAAGUUAUAGCAUUUUAUAGACAACUUGUUGACUAUGAUUUGUCUUGUAGCUUACUCGCUUAUGUUAUUUUACCUACGCUUAGGAUGUUGAUAGUCACAGCGUGUAC